Molecule: ribosomal RNA, 445 nt
Filed under: uncultured Alphaproteobacteria bacterium
Lineage: Bacteria; Pseudomonadati; Pseudomonadota; Alphaproteobacteria
Description: bacterial SSU rRNA
Rfam family: Bacterial small subunit ribosomal RNA
Source: RNAcentral
ACCUGGCGGCAGGCCUAACCAUGCAAGUCGAGCGCGCCUUCGGGUGAGCGGCGGACGGGUUAGUAACGCGUGGGAACGUGCCCUUCUCUACGGAAUAGCCUCUGGAAACGGAGAGUAAUACCGUAUACGCCCUUUGGGGGAAAGAUUUAUCGGAGAAGGAUCGGCCCGCGUUAGAUUAGGUAGUUGGUGGGGUAACGGCCUACCAAGCCUACGAUCUAUAGCUGGUUUUAGAGGAUGAUCAGCAACACUGGGACUGAGACACGGCCCAGACUCCUACGGGAGGCAGCAGUGGGGAAUCUUAGACAAUGGGGGCAACCCUGAUCUAGCCAUGCCGCGUGAGUGAUGAAGGCCUUAGGGUCGUAAAGCUCUUUCGCCUGUGAUGAUAAUGACAGUAGCAGGUAAAGAAACCCCGGCUACUCCGUGCCACAGCCCGCGGUAAUACGGA